RNAcentral lists this transfer RNA (71 nucleotides) under Actinomycetota bacterium. RNAcentral describes it as "tRNA-Gly". It matches the Rfam family "tRNA". From Rfam's summary of the family: Transfer RNA (tRNA) molecules are approximately 80 nucleotides in length. Lineage: Bacteria; Bacillati; Actinomycetota. The record is from RNAcentral. RNAcentral also lists the same sequence under 1 other name.
GCGGGCGUAGCUCAAUGGCAGAGCCUCAGUCUUCCAAACUGAUGGUGCCGGUUCGAUCCCGGUCGCCCGCU